Lacerta agilis (Sand lizard) is the source of this 72-nucleotide non-coding RNA. The record is from the annotation of a RefSeq genome assembly. NCBI's taxonomy places the organism in Eukaryota, Metazoa, Chordata, Lepidosauria, Squamata, Lacertidae.
GAGGGUGUAGCUCAGUGGCAGAGCGUCUGUCUUGCAUGCAGCAGGUCCCAGGUUCAAUCCCUGGCAUCUCCA